Molecule: long non-coding RNA, 8335 nt
Filed under: Canis lupus familiaris (dog)
Lineage: Eukaryota; Metazoa; Chordata; Mammalia; Carnivora; Canidae
Description: lncRNA (ENSCAFG00000054793.1)
Source: RNAcentral
UUUUUUUUUUUUUUUAAUGAUUCCCUUUUAAUCGCUUGAUUAUAGUUAAGAGCUCAGAGACGAGAUAUACAUUUCUUCACUCUCUUUUUAAAAAUAUUUCCUUAUGACUUAAAAGAAGUCGGUUUUUACUUUGGCCUUGUCUCUGCUGCCGGGUUGCCUGAUGGAUUUUUCUCUGCACAAGCCCAACCCGGCUCCCACCCCUGUGUUUACUUGCCAUGUUUUCUGGUAAUUCUCGUGAUUUCAGUCCUUUCCCCGUGCUAUUGUGCUGGGCACCUACUGGAAACAGCCAUCUUCUUGUCCCUACCUGUUGAUCCACUCUUCUGUCUCGGGGUUUCCUCCAGGAUCAGCCAUCAGGGAGGUUUUCUUUUCCUUCUGCCUCUCUCUCUCUCUCGAGGUCUGAUGAGUUCUAUUCUCUUUCAUUCCACAGUGUAUUGAGCAUUACAAAGUGUACUUGUAGGAUUAAGCUUAUUUGUUGGCAAACUUGUCUUCUUCCCUGGCCUGUUGGCUCCUUGACCACCGGCCUGAACCACUUUUUUUUUUUUUUUUUUUUAAGAUUUUAUUCGUUUAUUCAUGAGAGACACAGACAUAGGCAGAAGGAAAAGCAGGCUCCCUACGGGGAGCCUGAUGCAGGACUCCAUCCUAGGACCUCGAGAUCAUGACCUGAGCCAAAGGCAGACGGUCAACUACUGAGCCACCCAGGCACCCCUGAGGCACUCAUUUUUAUAGGCCUGGCCAUAGUAGUGCUGAUGGAACAUUUACUGAACAAAUGUUCAGUACAUUCUCUUUUGUUAUAUACAACAAAAUAAUUCAAAGUUAGCAGGGAGCAUUUGAUGUAAAAGAGAUUUGUGAAAUGAAUGAGAGCUUAUGUUUUAUUGUUUGUUCUGAGACAGGGAGAGCAACAUAUAUUUAUGAAAUAUGGGUAAAAAUAAUUGACUUGGUGAUUAUGGGGCAAACCAUCUUGGAAGAUGGCAUAGUGAGGUAUAGCAAGUUCAUUGGCAGAGUUCUAGGCAGAAUUUUGCCACAGAGCCUAGCCACAGUCUGUGGAAGCUCCCCCUUCUGGCCUUAAUAUUCUCAUCUUGUAGAACAGAGAGAAAGGACAAAAUAGUCUUACAUGAAUUUCAGGUCAUUCACGCUCUGGAGACCUAUUAUCCAUCAUAACAAUUGCCAUUAGGGGUCGUCUGUCACUGCCAAGGAGGCCUGGCUCUAGCCCUAUAUAAGGGUACCUACCCAUUUUUUGUACCUUAUGCAGAUUUUGGGUCCUCUAGGUUCUUUUUCUUAGUUUCCUCUAGUCAUGCUCUUCUUCCCCCUUCCUUUAGACUUGUAAGUUUUGCCCUGGAGCUGCUGAAUAGUUGAACAUCAUAUUACAUGGCCCUCCCAUCCUCCUGUAGGGUAACCUCAUUGCCUCCCCACUGCCUGCCUCUACCUCAUUGCACCAGACAGGCCUUAGCACCUCUCCAGCUAGUCCUUACACUGCAACUGGCCCAGGUGGGAUUUUAGGGCCUCAUGGCAAAAUGCCCUGUCUUCAAUUUUGUGCUAAAGCUGUAUUGCCAUUGGGACGCCUGAGUAGCUCAGCCGUUGAGCAUCUGCCUCCAACUCACGGUGUGACCCAGAAUCCCCGGAUCAAGUCCCAAAUCAGGCUCCCUGUGUGGAGCCUGCUUCUCCCUCUGCCUUUGUUCUCUGCUUCUCUCUCUCUGUCUCUCAUGAACAAAUAAAUAAAAUCUUUAAAAAAAAACUGUUUUGCCAUAAACGUCUCCAGUUGCUUCACCAUCAGCACACCUCCUUUUCUUCUCUUUUCCAGAAUCCACCUCACUUAAUAUGACAGUUAGUAAAUAGUUCUGAUCACAGAAAGUUUACUGCAGGUGAUAGAUAUUUACUUACACUGCUGAUCCUUGCAGUGUCCCCAAGGGUAGAUAUUUUAUAUUAAUUUUAGAGAUGAGGAAACCGAGUCUCAGAUUGUUUAAAUAACUUGCCCACAUUGCCCAACUCCAAAGCUGGUGCUGUUUCUGCUGCACUAUGUUACAUUUCAGCAUAUGGAGGCCCAGGUCAAUUUUUGUUGUUUUGUUCAUGUCAGCUCUUUAUGUGUUUCAGAAACAGUGUUGUCUCACCAAAGAGAAAGACAUUCCACUGCAUUUUAUAAUACAUCAACUUGCUAUUUUAUUUUUUCUUUCAUAGUCUUCUGCUCUGUGUAUCUUUACACAUAUUUUAAAGAGUUAAGAUCAUAAUAUGGAUAUAGUCCUUAUUCUAAAAAUAAUUCCAUAAGCACUUUCUUUGUUGCUCUUUUCUCUAUUGUCAUCUUAAUGGUGCAUAAUUUUUGUCAGAUUGGUUUAUCAUACUUUUAAAGAUCUUUUUCCUGCUGCAGAACUUUGAGGUUAUUUCCAUUUUGUGCUGUGAUAAAUUAUGUUAUAAUAAUGAUAUUUAUGUACUUUUUAAGAUUAAUGGUAAUACAUUGGCUUUUAAAACCUUUUUUAUCAUGGAAAUUGUGAAAUAUUCACAAGAGAUUAGAAGGGACCUGCAUCUACCUGUCACUCUGCUUCAACAAAAAUUAACAUUUUGCUCAUGUUGUCUCAGCUACAACACCAUUUUUUUUUUUUUUUUUUUUUGGAGAACAUUAAAGAAAAUUUCCAAGUAUCUUGUCAUUGCACUUCAGGAUAGACUUGUAACUGAUAAGGACUUUCCCCAGUGUCAUCUAAUAGUCUGUGUUUAAAUUUCCCUGAUUAUCUCCAGAGUGACUUUUCACAUUAAGUUUGUGCAAGGUAGGAUCCAAAUACAGUCUACAUGUUGCAAUUGGUUGUUAACAUCAUUAAAGUUUCAUUUAUUCUAAAUGGUACACACACACACACACACACACACACACACUCUCACUCAUUUUUUAAUGCCAUCAAUUUGUUGGAGAAGCUAUGUCAGAAUUUCUGUAGAAGGUCCAACAUUCUAAGAUUAGUGGUUUCUUCAAGGUAGCCUCAACUGCUAUCCUUAUCUAUUCUAUUUGUUUUAACUGAUAGAUGUGAGUACUUUCAAUAAGAUGGUGGUUCAAUUUCUUAAGAAAAAUAUUUUGUAAGUGCUGUCCAUUUCACUUUGAGGUCAAACUUCUUAGAACAUUUUACCAGGUCACAAGCUUCUUUUCUUUCUUGUUCUGCCCCAAAGCCUCUUGUAUAGGCAAUUUAUUAAUAUACAAGCCCAUUCACGUCAGGCACAUGUAACUAGAUCCCUGCUAAUCCCAGCCUCUUCUGUCCCACCUACUGGACCCAGUGUUAACAUUAACCAAUUUCCUUGUAGCCCAGUCAACCUUAUUAGAAAACUAGGAAUUGCCUGAAAUACUUUUGAAAGCAGUUAGUGGCCCAAGAAAGCCUGGAUUUGAAAGAGAAAUAAUUGAGAAUUGAGGAAGCAUGCCUCAAUUGUAGACAUUGAAUGUUCUGGUUCAAAGGUUAAGUUCAAGUAUAUGGGGCACGACUGUUAUAUUGAUGACUUCACAUGUCAGAGAAGGCCUGAGACCUACAUCUGUUUUUAUGCUUCUACACUAUUUAAGCUUAGGGUAGUUUGAGGUUUCUCUUUCUUAGAGUAUUAAGGCCAUUAUCAUGAACCACUAAGUUCUAAUGGGUCUGCUUCCAUCAUACUGAAUCUCUGGGCACCACGAGGGAGCCCUGGCUAGAGCAGGAGAGUAGGACACUUUCUUUUCUUCCUAGGACACAUCCCACCUUGUAUUUUAGAUACAGCAUUUCAGGGCCUCUUCAGGGCCACACAUGAUACCCAAAGUCCCACCAGACAGAACAAAGAGAUGUCCAAGACUUGAGAUUCCCAGAAUUGUCCAGGAAUUGGGAGAGGCAGAGUGAGUCUCUCCUAUCUUCCUGGUCCCAGAAAACUGUAAGGCAUGUGUGGCUUUCCCUUUAGGUCAUUAGGCAAAGUGAGAUCGUCCGCCUGGUUUGCCUGACUAUUCCAACCUCCUAUAUUUUUACACUCUGGAUAAAUCCUUAGCAUUAGUGGACAAGUACCAAAAAUGGACAAUCAGUUUCUGCCUUGAGAUCUGGUAUGGACUUAACUCUUUGCUAGAAAAGAAAAGCAACCCUUCCAUUCUUCUUCUGUGAGCUUAUCCAAAUUUUGUCUUUUUCUUUCAGUAUCUUCUAUUUAUUUAAUUCUUCUGUUUGCUUGUGUUGGUAAAAACCACUUUACUGAGGUAUAAUUGACAUACGAAAACUGUACAUACAUACUGUACACAACUUGAGUUUGGAGAGGAGUAUACACUGUAAAGCCAUCACCACAAUCUAUGCCAAAAAUCUGUCCAUUACCCAAAAGAUUUUUGCUGCCCUCUUAUUUUUUCUCAUUUAUUUAAUUCUUAUCUUGAAAAGAACCUUUCUAUAAUCCAUGGAUACCUUUUGCUCUUUGUUUACAAUGUUAACUUGCUGUAUCCUCAUCAUUCCCUGUGAAUAUAUACAAUUGGUAAUCUGGGGAAUUGGGUACUCCCCAGAAGUGUUCAGUCUAUACUCAUUUCCUUCUAUUGCAUAAGCAGUUCUGGCUUUUAAGCAAACAAAGGAGUAAAUUUUGGAGUCAACUAAAAUAAAAGCUUGACUAUCAGACAUGAAUCAAAUGUGCUCUACAGACUAAUCCAUUAUUCGAGUAUAUCUGGGACUACAUAAAUUAAUCUUAAUCAUGUUUAUUCUUUUAAAAACAUCAACAGUUAAAAAUUGCAUAUCUCAUUAUUAAAAAUGGUUUUGGAGCUGAGAUGUAAUCUCCUAAAUUAAGGAAUAAAAAUAAGAGCAGGAUGAUCCAGCUAACCAUUUUUCUUCUUAAAACUUGAAAUAAAUGGAGAUCAAGAAUGUUAGACAUCUUUAAAUAAAUCAGAGGUCUUAUGACAUUUCUAAUAUUUUAUUAACAAAGUUUUGAUUUGAUUUAUCUAUGUAAAAUAACUAGCAAGGUAUUCUCUAAGUGCUGAGACAUAAAUUACAAACACGAAACCUUGAUUUAUGUUAAUGGUGGAUAAUAUGUGGGACAUGGCAAGUUAUCACGGAUUUUACAAUAUUCCCCAAGUUGGGGAUGGAAUCAUAGAAAAGUACUGGAGAAACUGCUGCCUUAGGCUCCAUUUGUUGAUAUAUAGAUGAUGGCUGUCUUCUAAGAAAUGAUAUAAUCCUGAUGAUGUGAACUUGCACUUCUAUUCCAGGCACCUCCAGAUUUUAGCGAAAUCUGCUCGACAUUUCCGAGUCCCUAUGAUGGAUCAGAGGCAUUCAGAUCUCUGCAAGGAUGGCAGAGGAGGAAAAACAAAAAACUGUCAGCAUUGCUGCACACAGGCUGAUGCUCUGUUGACCUGUGCCAUGUGAACAAGCCAGCAUUGUGCAUGGCUCCCAGAGCCCUGGCUCUUCCUGCACUUCUUUCUCCCCGACUCAAGAAACCAUUUGGGGAUGCAAGUGAGAUUGCCGAAAACAGAAACCCAACUCCAGCUAGCUAGCAUGAGAGGAAUAUAUUGAUGGGACACUCAGAUCCUGAAAUCUAUAAGUUAAAAUAACCAGUCUUUGGAUCAACUAGAUCCAGGCAACUCCGGGGACGUCAGAAAAAGAAAAUUAUGGACCUCUUCUCCAGGACACUGACAUUCGAAUUUCUCAUUUUUAGUGACCUGCAGCAUCAGAUGGACCAGCUCUGGCUAGGAAGAUGGGUUGUGUGGUAUAUACACGGUUGCUGGAGGCUUCUCCUCUGUAUCAGGGGCAACAAGGCAAGGGGAAUAUUGGGAGCUAAGAAAUUUUUAAGGCUUUAAUGAGAUGUAAUUGUCAUAUAAUAAACUACACAUAUUUAGAAUGUACAAAUUGAUGCAUUUUGAAAUAUACAUAAAAUUAUAUACAAUUAUAUUUAUGUUAUAUAUAUAUUAAUCUGGAAAACAAUGACUGAUGAAAAUAAUGACUAUAUUCAUCAUUGCUGAAAGUUUCUUUGUGCUCUCUUGUAUUCCCUCCCUCCUACCUCUCCAUGCCCCUCUACUUGUUCCCAGGCAAUCACUGAUCUGCCUCUUACUAUAGAUUAAUUUGCAUUUUCUAGAAUUGGGUAUAAAUGGGUAUAAAUGUAAUAUGUACUCUUUUUUGUCUGGCUUUUUGCACUUGGCAUUAUGAUUUUGAGAUUCAUUCAUGUUGUAGCAUGUAUCAGUACUUCACUCCUUUUUAUGAAUGUGUAAUAUUCCAUGGUAUGGAUACACCACAGUUUAUUCUUUCAAUUCUUCCUGGACUUUUAGGUUGCUUCUGGUUUGGGGCUAUUACCAAUAAACCUGCUAUGAAAAUUCAUGCACAAGGCUUUGUUUAGACAUAUGCUUGCAUUUUUCUUGGUUAAAAACCUAGGACUAGAAUGGCUGGGUCAUCUUGUAGGUGUAUAAUUAAUUUUUUUUCAGAACCAGCCAAGCAGUUUUCCAAAGAGACUGUAGCAUUUUACAUUCCCACCAGCAAUAUAUGAGAGUUCUAAUUGUUGCAUAUCCUCACUUCUACUUGGUAUUUAUCCAGAAUUUAUUUUUAGAAAAUUCUCAAAACUUAAUUCUAAGAAGACCAACAACCUAAUUUUUAAAAAUGAGUAAAAGAUUUCAAUAGAUAAUUUCCAAAGCAGAUACACGGUGGCAAAUAUGCACAUGAAAAGAUAUUCAACAUCAUUAGUCAGUAGAAAAAUGAGAAUUAAAAGUGCAAUGGCAUGCUUAUUCAAAAAAUAACAUCAAAAGGAGGCUAAUAAUUUGACAUUAUGAUGCCCAUUUUAUAGAUAAGAAAACUGAGGCUCUAGGAAUUACGUGCCUUGACCAAGGUUGACCAGCUAUGAGGUGGUAGAAGUUGAAUUUGAACCUGGGUCUGCUAAUCCCUGCUUAAUAUUUUUAAAAAUAUUUUUAUUUAUUUGUCUGAGACAGAGAGAGAGCACAAGCAGGGGGAGUGGUGAAGGGAGAGGGUGAAGUAGAUGCCCUGCUGAGCACAGAGCCAAAUGGGGGGCUCCAUCCAUCCCAGGACCCUGCCAAGAUCAAGACCUGAGCAGAAGUUGGAUGGUUAACUGACUGAGCCACCCAGGUGCCCUCCGCCCCCAGCCCCCAACCUGGCUGCAUAAUCUUGAUGCUAGGCCAGCAACAGUCCUUUGAAGUAGGCUUCACAAGCAAGAUUGAAAGCAGAGAAACUCACUUAUUAUUCAGGAAUACAUCCAUUUCCUCUCCUGAUGAGACAGGCUAUCACCAUUCACAGGGGACACUAUGCAACUUUAAGUUUUGGUGUCUAUUUUGCCUAAAGGAUAAAUUCUGUUUUUCCAACAUCCAGCUUGUCUAGAUGCCUCUGAGAGAGGUAUUCAAAGUGUAGAAUGCCCACCAAAGCUUCAUUGGUCCAACAAAGACUGUUUAACCACAAUAAUUACAAAUAUGAGGGGUUUUUUUUUGACUCAGUCUUCAUUUGAAUCACAGAUCUAGUGUUUCUUAAAUAUGUGAUCUUGGACAAGUUACAAGUUUGAUAUGUUUGCCCAUAGAUUGAAUGAUACUGACCUUAUGGUGUUUUAAGGGUUAGAGCUGAUGUACAUAUAGAUUUUACCACAAUGUCCUAUACUUAAUGUAUUCCCAAAAUACUGUUUACCACAUCACAAAUAAUAAUAUAUAACCACCCUAAUAAUAGGUGUGUUAAGCUUCUCACUCACUAUGAAACCUGAAUAAAACACAAAUUCAUCACUAGCUGAUGUCUUACUCCCUCCUUUAGGAAAUACUAAUCCACCGACAGCCAGCGUUUGUUCUGUUUUGUUUUUUUUUUAGAUUUUAUUUAUUUAUUUAUGAGACACACACACACACACACACACACACACACACACACACACACACACACAGAGGCAGAGACACAGGCAGAGGCAGAAGCAGGCUCCAUGCAGGGAGCCUGACGUAGGACUCCAUCCCUGGUCUCCAGGAUUAGGCCUUGGGCUGAAGGUGGCGCUAAACCGCUGAGCCACCCCGUCUGCCCAGUGGUCUUUAAUUCUAUAGAAACUACUAAGCCAGUGAAACAUUUACCCUUUAGUUGUAAAUUUAUCCUUUAGUUAGAAAUAUUCUUUGAAGGGAGUGUCUGUGGUUGCUGUUGGACCACAUCAGCUGAGCACCCGCAUGGAAUUUUUAAGAGUUCUGUGAUUGGAUAUGCAGGAAUCACAUGAUGUAAAGAAAUCAAAGUAAGUGUGAUAAAGAGCUCUGCAGGGGCGCCUGGGGGUCUCAGAGGUUGAGCAUCUGCUUCACUCUGGGUCUGGUAGGUGGUGAUCUUCGGGUCCUGGGCUUGAGUCCUAAGUCUGGCUCCCUUCUCAGCAGGGAGUCUGCUUCUCCCUCUCCUUCUGCCCUCCCCCCUGCUUGGGCUCUCUCUGUCUCUCUCUCAAAUGAAUAAAA